GCAGUCGGACGGUCUGUCGCUGGCACAUCUCUAUGGGUGUGCGAGAGGAAAGUCCGGGCAACACAGGGAGUCCCACUUGCUAAUUUACAAGCAGUCCGCAAGGGUUGAGUAAUGUAGAAGAAAACAACCGCCGCAAGGUAAGGGUGAGAAGGUGGGGUAAGAGCCCACCAGCGGUGUGGCGACACAUCGGCUGUACAUCUUGGGAGUUGCAAGUUCAUGUAAACUACCGCCAUCAGGGUGCCCGCCCGACAGUUCGGUAGAGGGUAGAACGCUUGAGCCAUAGGGUGACCUAUGGACUGGAUAAAUGACAGACGGUUCCUUCGGGAACUACAGAACCCGGCUUAUAGGCUGACUGCUUUC
Molecule: RNase P RNA, 360 nt
Filed under: Bacteroidaceae bacterium
Lineage: Bacteria; Pseudomonadati; Bacteroidota; Bacteroidia; Bacteroidales; Bacteroidaceae
Description: RNase P RNA component class A
Rfam family: Bacterial RNase P class A
About the family: Ribonuclease P (RNase P) is a ubiquitous endoribonuclease, found in archaea, bacteria and eukarya as well as chloroplasts and mitochondria. Its best characterised activity is the generation of mature 5'-ends of tRNAs by cleaving the 5'-leader elements of precursor-tRNAs.
Source: RNAcentral